GAUGAACGCUGGCGGCGUGCCUAAUACAUGCAAGUCGAACGAAGAUCUAGCUUGCUAGAUCUUAGUGGCGAACGGGUGAGUAAUACAUAAAUAAUCUGCCCAUUGGACUGGGAUAACUAUUGGAAACGAUAGCUAAUACCGGAUAGGUGAUUUGAAGGCAUCUUCGAAUCAUUAAAGUAGGGUCACUACACCAAUGGAUGAGUUUAUGGCGCAUUAGUUAGUUGGCGGGGUAACGGCCCACCAAGACGAUGAUGCGUAGCCGACCUGAGAGGGUGACCGGCCACACUGGGACUGAGACACGGCCCAGACUCCUACGGGUGGCAG
Molecule: ribosomal RNA, 324 nt
Filed under: uncultured Bacillota bacterium
Lineage: Bacteria; Bacillati; Bacillota
Description: bacterial SSU rRNA
Rfam family: Bacterial small subunit ribosomal RNA
Source: RNAcentral